GGAGGGGCCCUGGCUGAGUGACAGAGCGUCUGCUCGACAUGCGGAAGCUCCCAGGUUCCAUCCCCGGCCUCUCCA
This 75-nucleotide transfer RNA is filed under the name Sphaerodactylus townsendi. Its description in RNAcentral is "tRNA-Val". The record is from RNAcentral. Lineage: Eukaryota; Metazoa; Chordata; Lepidosauria; Squamata; Sphaerodactylidae.